UUUAAUGGCGCUUUCCCACUCCACACCAAUGGGGCGGCGUACAUCAAAAAGGAGGUCAAAAAAUCCGUCCGGCUCGCGGUGCGGCAGUGUGGAGACCUGUCGUAAAAGGAACACGUUCUAAUAAAAAUCGAACGGUUUUGAGAUGAUUUUUGCGGAGGCUGGAUCAUCAGAGCUGAGAACAUGAGU
This 186-nucleotide non-coding RNA is filed under the name unclassified sequences. RNAcentral's name for it is "malK-I RNA". It matches the Rfam family "malK-I RNA". The record is from RNAcentral.